AAUUAGUAAACGAAACUUCGGUCUAGUGAGCUAGUGGAGAGCGGCGGACGGGUGAGUAACGCGUAGGCAACCUACCCCAUACACAGGGAUAGCCUCGGGAAACCGGGAUUAAAACCUGAUGAUGCGAUUUGGUCACAUGACCUGAUCGUCAAAGAUUUAUCGGUAUGGGAUGGGCCUGCGUCUGAUUAGUUAGUUGGUGGGGUAACGGCCUACCAAGGCAGCGAUCAGUAGCCGACCUGAGAGGGUAAUCGGCCACAUUGGAACUGAGACACGGUCCAAACUCCUACGGGAGGCAGCAGUGGGGAAUAUUGCACAAUGGGCGAAAGCCUGAUGCAGCAACGCCGCGUGAGCGAUGAAGGCCUUUGGGUCGUAAAGCUCUGUCCUUGGGGAAGAAAAAAAUGACGGUACCCUUGGAGGAAGCCCCGGCUAACUACGUGCCAGCAGCCGCGGUAAUACGUAGGGGGCGAGCGUUAUCCGGAAUUAUUGGGCGUAAAGAGUGCGUAGGUGGUUUUGUAAGCGCGGGGUGAAAGGCAAUGGCUCAACCAUUGUAAGCCCUGUGAACUGCGAGACUUGAGUGCAGGAGAGGAAAGUGGAAUUCCUAGUGUAGCGGUGAAAUGCGUAGAUAUUAGGAGGAACACCAGUGGCGAAGGCGACUUUCUGGACUGUAACUGACACUGAGGCACGAAAGCGUGGGGAGCAA
This 700-nucleotide ribosomal RNA is filed under the name uncultured bacterium. RNAcentral's name for it is "bacterial SSU rRNA". It matches the Rfam family "Bacterial small subunit ribosomal RNA", at positions 65 to 771 of the family's 1533-position model. The record is from RNAcentral.